RNAcentral lists this ribosomal RNA (1136 nucleotides) under Deinococcus wulumuqiensis. RNAcentral's name for it is "bacterial SSU rRNA". It matches the Rfam family "Bacterial small subunit ribosomal RNA", at positions 1 to 985 of the family's 1533-position model. Lineage: Bacteria; Thermotogati; Deinococcota; Deinococci; Deinococcales; Deinococcaceae. RNAcentral also lists the same sequence under 1 other name. The record is from RNAcentral.
AUGAGUUUGGUGAUGGCUCUGAUUGAACACUGUCCAAAUACUUGACACAUGCUAAUCGAACGUUUAAUUUUGGCCUAAGAAAGGGGUUUCAUCGUGGCUUAAGCUAAGGGGUUUAUUGUGGCUUAAGCUAAGGUUUAAUCUUUGACUUAAGCGGGUGUUUUAGGGGAACUUGUGCCCCUAAAACCUCUUAAUUAAAAGUGGUGUACAGGUGAGUAUAAUAUUUUUUCGCUUAACUUAAAGUGAAGGCAAAUCCUUCAUAUUGCAAAAGGAUAUCUUAGGCACCUGUUGAAAGGGGCCUACUUAUAUUAUAUCCGCUUUAAGAGGAUGAGAAAAGUUUCAGAGAUAGGUAGUUGUUAAGGUCAUGGCUUAACAAGCCAAUAAUUCUCUUAGUCGAAGCUGAAAAGGCUGAUCGACCACAUUGGGAAUGAAAAAAUCCCAAGGCAAAUAGGUACAGCAGUGAGGAAUCUUGGUCAAUGGGCCCACGCCUGAACUGGUAACUUGGAGGAAUGAGGGGUCAACUUUGCAAAUGGAUGAGUGAUCGUUAGAAGAUCCUUAGUCCCCUGGUCUUCUUGACACAUGAGGUAUAUACUUCUAGUCCAUAUUGGGGGGAGACUCCACGUCGAUUUAUCGAGUAAAAUUCUGUAUACAUAUUGAUAAUGACAAUAUGUACAUUUGUCUUGACUAAUUACGUGCCAGCAGUCGCGGCAAUACGUAAGAGACUAGUGUUAAUCAUCAUAAAUAGGUUUAAAGGGUACUCAGACGGAAAAAUUCGCCCAAAUAUAGGGGACAAUUUUUCUAGAGUUUUAUGUAAGAAGGUCGUACUCUAGAGUGGAGAGAUAAAAUUCUGUGAUACCUAGGGGACGGGUAAAGGCGAAGGCAAUCUUUUAUGUAAAAACUGACGUCGAAGGACGAAGGCAAAGGGAACAAAAAGGAUUAGAUACCCCAGUAGUCUUUGCAGACAAUUAUGAAUGCCAUAGGUUAGAUUUUUAAUUUAGUCUAUAAAUGAAAGUGUAAGCAUUUCACCUCAAGAGUAAGGCGGCAACGCAGGAACUGAAAUCACUAGACCGUUUCUGACACCAGCAAUGAAGUAUGUUAUUUAAUUCGGUGACCCACGAAAAACCUUACCACAAUUUGAA